AUGCUUGCUUCGGCAGCACAUAUACUAAACUUGGAACAAUACAGAAAAGAUUAGAAUGGCCCCUGCAUGAGGAUGAAACACAACUUCAUGAAGUGUUCCAUAUAAAA
Callithrix jacchus (white-tufted-ear marmoset) is the source of this 107-nucleotide small nuclear RNA. NCBI's taxonomy places the organism in Eukaryota, Metazoa, Chordata, Mammalia, Primates, Cebidae. The record is from Ensembl.